RNAcentral lists this unclassified non-coding RNA (454 nucleotides) under Hevea brasiliensis (rubber tree). Lineage: Eukaryota; Viridiplantae; Streptophyta; Magnoliopsida; Malpighiales; Euphorbiaceae. The record is from RNAcentral.
AUUGUAUUAGCGGGGGUUGGUAGUUUGACACUGGUGGAUGAUCGUGCUGUGACUGAAGAUGCAUUAUCUUCAAACUUUUUGAUACCACCUAAUGAGAAUGUGUAUGCUGGGAAAACACUUGCUGAGCUUUGUUGCAAUUCUCUGAAAGAAUUCAACCCAAUGGUUCGGGUUUCUGUUGAGAAAGAAUAUAUGCAGCUAAUUGAAAACAAAAUAAGCAUCCAAAUUACAGGUGAUUUGUCAAGAUUUGGUGGAGACUUCUUUGAUAAGUUUGACAUUGUAAUUGUCAGUUGCUGCACCCGCAUGACCAAGAAAUUGAUCAAUGAGAAGUGUCGCAAGUUAUCAAAGCGUGUAGCAUUUUAUACAGUUGACUGUAGAGAUUAUUGUGGUGAGAUUUUUGUUGAUUUGCAGAAGUAUAUAUAUACAAAGAAAAAGCUUGAUGAAAACAAUCAACCCA